ACGGAAGGCAGCAGUGAGGAAUAUUGGUCAAUGGGCGGAAGCUUGAACCAGCCAAGUCGCGUGAAGGAUGAAGGUAUUAUGUAUUGUAAACUUCUUUAGACGCAGAGAAAUAAGAGGGUCGUGACCCUUGAUGCUAGUAUGCGUAGAAUAAGCAUCGGCUAAUUCCGUGCCAGCAGCCGCGGUAAUACGGAAGAUGCGAGCGUUAUCCGGAUUUAUUGGGUUUAAAGGGAGCGUAGGCGGCCUCUUAAGUCAGCGGUCAAAUGUCAGCGCCCAACGCUGGCCUGCCGUUGAUACUGAUGGGCUUGAAUACACACAAGGAAGGUGGAAUUCGUCGUGUAGCGGUGAAAUGCUUAGAUAUGACGAAGAACUCCGAUUGCGAAGGCAGCCUUCUGGAGUGCGAUUGACGCUGAGGCUCGAAAGCGCGGGUAUCAAACAGGAUUAGAUACCCUGGUA
RNAcentral lists this ribosomal RNA (453 nucleotides) under uncultured Prevotellaceae bacterium. RNAcentral's name for it is "partial 16S ribosomal RNA". It matches the Rfam family "Bacterial small subunit ribosomal RNA", at positions 341 to 792 of the family's 1533-position model. The record is from RNAcentral. Lineage: Bacteria; Pseudomonadati; Bacteroidota; Bacteroidia; Bacteroidales; Prevotellaceae.